Molecule: long non-coding RNA, 1360 nt
Filed under: Callithrix jacchus (white-tufted-ear marmoset)
Lineage: Eukaryota; Metazoa; Chordata; Mammalia; Primates; Cebidae
Description: lncRNA (ENSCJAG00000075641.1)
Source: RNAcentral
UCACACAUAAUAAUUGUGUAUAUUUAUCAGGUACAGUGUGAUGUUGCAAUGCAUGUUUACAAUGGGCAAUAAUUACAUUAGAGUAAUUAGCAUAUCUAUUACCAUAAACUUUUAUCAUUCCUUUAUGUAAGAAACAGCCAAAAUUCCUGCCUCAGCCUCCUGAGUAGCUGGGAUUACAGGUGCCCAGCACCAAGCCUGGCUAAUUUUUUGUUUUUUGAGACAGAGCCUCACUCUGUCACCCAGGCUGGAGUGCAGUGGCACGAUCUCGUCUCACUGCAACCUCUGCCUCCCUGGUUCUUAUAAUUCUCCUGCCUCAGCCUCCCGAGUAACUGGGACUACAGGUGUGCACCACUAUGCCCAGCUAAUUUUUGUACUUUCAGUAGAGACGGGGUUUCACCAUGUUGGCCGGGAUGGUCUCAAUUUCUUGACCUUAUAAUUCAUCUGCCUUGGCCUCCAAAAGUGCUGGGAUUAUAGGCGUGAGCCACUGGGCCCAGCCUGGACCUUGCUUCUUUACCCAACUUGCUACUGUGUGUCUUUUAAGAGGUGUGUUUAGCCUAUUUACAUUCAAGGUUAAUACCAAUAUGUGAGAACUUGAUCUUGUCAUUGUGCUGUUGCCUGAUUGUUAUGCAUACUUGGUUGUACAAUUAUUUCAUAGUGUCAGUGGGCUAUAUACUUAAGUUUGUUUUUGUGAUGGCAGAUAUCAUUCUUUCAUUUCCAUGUUUAGGACUCCCUAAGGACCACUCCUAAGACAGAUCUGGAGCCAUUUUUGUCACAUGAAGAACCAUUGCUGGGGAGCUAGUAUGGCCGCUUGGAGAUUAGGUCUCUGGGUGGACGUCCAAGUUGUUAAUUCCCAGGGCCGAAAUAUGAGCAACCCACUGCACCGGCCAAAACAGCGUCAUCAAGACUGAUGGUGCUUUUCUGCCCAGGAAUCUCCAUUUUGGCUUCCUUCCUGAGUCCAUAAUAGGCGACUCUGCCUUCCGGGAACUCCAAACCUCGGUCAGAAGGGGAACCAGUCCCGUUUACUCUGCACCAAGAGCUGCUGCACCGAGGUGCCAGCAAAACCGCUGCGCUGGCCACAAGAGUCGCAUUGGCGACCCAUGCGCUCCUCCACUUGGAAUCUUCUGCUCUGGCCACACGGCAAAAGGACAACAGCCAUUGUCAAGCUAAGACGACAGCCUUCACCAGGAAUCAAAUUGGAUGGCACUUUGAUGUUGAAUGUCUAGCCUCCAGAACUGUGAAAAAUAAAUUUUUGUUGUUUAAGCCACUAAGUCUAUGGUGUUUUGUUAUGGCAGCUCAAGUAGACUUACUAACACUUAGAAUGAAUGCUUUUGGUGAGCAAGGAGUUUCUGUAUUUUUAUGA